AACUCUUUGGUGUUUCACAGUAAGAUUCAUCAGCUCUUUCUGAUUGAAAGUCCUCUGUGUUCUUCAAGGAAAUGACAAGGCAGAAGAUAGAAAUAAAGAAGAUCGACAACAUAACAGCAAGGCAAGUAACGUUUUCGAAGAGAAGAAGAGGGCUAUUCAAGAAGGCUAAUGAACUUGCUACUCUCUGUGAUGCUGAGAUUGCUCUCAUAGUCUUUUCUGCUACUGGCAAGCUCUUUGAAUAUGGUAGCUCAAGUGUGCAGCAGGUUAUCGAAAGGCACGAUCAGCACUCAGAAAUUGAAAGAUUAUACCAUUCAUCCAUUUUGUAUGAAAAGGAAACCUUCAGCAUGCUCAGCAUGGAAGAAGCCAAUAAGGUUCAGGAACUGAGGCAGUUGAAGGGAGAAGAGCUUGAAGGAUUGAGCACGAAUGAAUUACAGAAGCUUGAAGAACAAUUAGAAAAAGGUUUGAGCCGUGUUGUCAAAGCUAAGGAAGAAAUAAUUAUGAAAGAGAUCAAUGCGCUCAAGAGAAAGGGAAUCCAGCUGAUGGAGGAGAAUCAGAGAUUGAAACAGAUUGGUGGCAAGAAUCUGAAGAUGGAAAAUUUGUGUUUAGGUGACGAAAGUUGGACAAACACAGGGUCAGUCGUCUGAGUCAGCAACUAUCGGCAGCACAUCUGAUCCUCUCCAUGAGGAUCAUAGUUCAGACACCUCUCUCAGAUUGGGAUUGUCUUUGUUCAACUAAUACAUUAAAUGAAAAAAAAAAAAGAUGAGAGGCAACAUGGAAAAUACAUCAAAAAUUUAAUUAACCGUUGUUGUGCACGGGACAAUUCCCC
Molecule: RNA transcript, 826 nt
Organism: Prosopis cineraria
Lineage: Eukaryota; Viridiplantae; Streptophyta; Magnoliopsida; Fabales; Fabaceae
Gene name: MADS-box protein JOINTLESS-like
Exons: 9
Source: RefSeq, a predicted model, not a curated record